Trichechus manatus latirostris (Florida manatee) is the source of this 914-nucleotide long non-coding RNA. RefSeq lists it as uncharacterized. NCBI's taxonomy places the organism in Eukaryota, Metazoa, Chordata, Mammalia, Sirenia, Trichechidae. The transcript has 5 exons. The record is from RefSeq and is a predicted model, not a curated record.
AUCCAGAGAAAGCUCUAUCCUGAUCCAUGGACUUGGGACAUUCCAGCCUCUACAACUGAGAAUGUCUCAUAAUUACUGAUCUACUAAGGACACUGUUUCCUGUUUCCCAACACUGCUCUCACAUGGAGGUCCUGCUUUGAAGAAUGUUAGUUCUGAUUUAUAAGGCGAGUAGAAGAGAAAAGUGGAAGAUUAUUUGUUGAGAAUCUACUAUAUGAUUGACAGUGUGGUGGUAGAGACAACAUAACAUUUUUCACAACCUCUGGAGUGGUUUCCAUAGCAGAGAUUUGGCAGAGGAGUAAUGUGCUUGGGCCCGUUGUUUCAGUUUCGAAGACAUAGGGACCAGCAAGCACAAAGAUGGAGCAGAGGGGGAGAUAGGUGUCACGUGAAGAUCACCAAGAAUCUUCCCCCCACCCCGAGCCAACAGACAAAGAGCCUUCCUCUACAUCCAACACCCUGAAUUCCGACUUCUAGUCUCCUGCACUAUGAGAAAAUACAUUUCUGUUCUUGAAAGCCACCGACUUGUGGUAUUUCUGCUGUAGCAAUACCAGGAAACCUUUGUUCAUCUCCACAGGCUUGCCGUCUGCCUGGGGCCCAACCUAUGAGUCUGCCAGACAGCAUUUCUCGGUAUGGCGCAGAACUCAAAUUCUUAUUAAAAAAAGAAAAGCCAGACAAAAGCACAGUAGAGAGGAGAGGACUCCCUGAGACUAUCACCCUGAGACACUCUUGAAACCUAGAACGGAGUCUAUCUAUCCCCUGAGAGCACCUUUUAGUGCAACAGUGGAGCGGCACACAAAAUAAAGGAUAUACCCGUAAGAUCAGUGCCCUACUCACAAUCAGUGUGGGACCAAAAGUCAACAAUUACUCAAAAGCACAGAUGAGAAGAUAAAGGGGCAGGAAACCAGAGCGCCGGAAUG